This 499-nucleotide non-coding RNA is filed under the name Leucoagaricus sp. SymC.cos. Its description in RNAcentral is "Bacterial large subunit ribosomal RNA". The stretch from base 67 to 499 matches the Rfam family "Bacterial large subunit ribosomal RNA", at positions 865 to 1179 of the family's 2925-position model. The record is from Rfam by way of RNAcentral. Lineage: Eukaryota; Fungi; Basidiomycota; Agaricomycetes; Agaricales; Agaricaceae.
UUUUCUACGAAACAUAUUUAAGUAUGACAUCUACCUACCCUAUGAAAAAUUAGGGAAGUUUUUCCUUUAUUUAAGAAUUGGAAAAAUUUAUAGAUUUAUGGAGGUACAGCAAGGCAAUUCCCAACAAGUAAAAUUUACUAUCUAGUUGCGGAACCGCUACUACAUUAAAUUUUAUGCGUUUAGGUUGCGGGGACCUAGAAAAUCUUACCUUUGGAAGCGAAUCUCGGAAUUACAUAAAUUGAUGGUAGAUAUUCAGACUGCUCAAGCUAAGUUGGGCAGUCAAAACGGAAACAGCCGAGAACACUGAUCAAGGUCCCAAAUGAAUGUUAAGUGAAAUUAAGGACGUAUGAAUAUCGUAUACAGCUGUGAAGUGAGCCUGGCAGUCGCUACUUAUAAUGAACGUAUGUAACAACGCAUCAGCAGUCUUUAAUAUCAGCAACCCUGCUUUAAGGCAGGGGGGGUAUUAAUUUAUAGAUACUAGCGCCGAAAAUUUAACGGG